GUUGUAUGGUUAAGUGACUAAGCGUACAUGGUGGAUGCCUUGGCAGUCAGAGGCGAUGAAGGACGUACUAACCUGCGAUAAGCCGUGAGCAGUCGGUAAGAGACAUUACGACUCACGGAUUUCCGAAUGGGGAAACCCACUUAGCAUAAGCUAGGUAUCGCUGCGUGAAUACAUAGCGUAGCGAGGCGAACCGGGAGAACUGAAACAUCUAAGUACCCCGAGGAAAAGAAAUCAACCGAGAUUCCUCAGUAGCGGCGAGCGAACGGGGAUUAGCCCUUAAGCAUCUUGGAAGUUAGUGGAACGGUCCUGGAAAGGCCGGCGAUACAGGGUGAUAGCCCCGUACACGAAAACAACCUUGAUGUGAAAUCGAGUAGGGCGGGACACGUGACAUCCUGUCUGAAUAUGGGGGGACCAUCCUCCAAGGCUAAAUACUCCUGACUGACCGAUAGUGAACCAGUACCGUGAGGGAAAGGCGAAAAGAACCCCUGUGAGGGGAGUGAAAUAGAACCUGAAACCGUGUACGUACAAGCAGUGGGAGCCCUUCGGGGUGACUGCGUACCUUUUGUAUAAUGGGUCAGCGACUUACAUUUUGUAGCGAGGUUAACCGUAUAGGGGAGCCGUAGGGAAACCGAGUCUUAACUGGGCGUCUAGUUGCAAGGUGUAGACCCGAAACCGGGUGAUCUAGCCAUGGGCAGGUUGAAGGUUGAGUAACAUCAACUGGAGGACCGAACCCACUAACGUUGCAAAGUUAGGGGAUGACCUGUGGCUGGGGGUGAAAGGCCAAUCAAACUCGGAGAUAGCUGGUUCUCCCCGAAAGCUAUUUAGGUAGCGCCUCGGACGAAUACUACUGGGGUAGAGCACUGUUUGGGCUAGGGGGUCAUCCCGACUUACCAACCCCAUGCAAACUCCGAAUACCAGUAAGUAAUAUCCGGGAGACACACGGCGGGUGCUAACGUCCGUCGUGAAGAGGGAAACAACCCAGACCGCCGGCUAAGGUCCCAAAGUUCUGGUUAAGUGGGAAACGAUGUGGGAAGGCUCAGACAGCUAGGAUGUUGGCUUAGAAGCAGCCAUCAUUUAAAGAAAGCGUAAUAGCUCACUAGUCGAGUCGGCCUGCGCGGAAGAUGUAACGGGGCUCAAACCAGGCACCGAAGCCGCGGAUUCACGCUAAGCGUGAGUGGUAGGGGAGCGUUCUGUAAGUCUGCGAAGGUGUGUCGAGAGGCAUGCUGGAGAUAUCAGAAGUGCGAAUGCUGACGUAAGUAACGAUAAAGGGGGUGAAAAGCCUCCUCGCCGGAAGACCAAGGGUUCCUGUCCAACGUUAAUCGGGGCAGGGUGAGUCGACCCCUAAGGCGAGGCCGAAAGGCGUAGUCGAUGGGAAGCAGGUUAAUAUUCCUGCACGACUUGUAAUUGCGAUGGGGGACGGAGAAGGCUAGGUGGGCCAGGCGACGGUUGUCCUGGUGAAAGUGCGUAGGUGGUGUUUCUAGGCAAAUCCGGAGACACAACACUGAGACACGAGACGAACACACUACGGUGUGGAAGCCAUUGAUGCCCUGCUUCCAGGAAAAGCCUCUAAGCUUCAGAUUACAAGUCAUCGUACCCCAAACCGACACAGGUGGUCGGGUAGAGAAUACCAAGGCGCUUGAGAGAACUCGGGUGAAGGAACUAGGCAAAAUAGAACCGUAACUUCGGGAGAAGGUUCGCUCUUGACAGUGAAGUCCCUUGCGGAUGGAGCAGUUGGGAGUCGCAGUGACCAGAUGGCUGGGACUGUUUAUCAAAAACACAGCACUCUGCAAACACGAAAGUGGACGUAUAGGGUGUGACACCUGCCCGGUGCCGGAAGGUUAAUUGAUGGGGUUAGCGCAAGCGAAGCUCUUGAUCGAAGCCCCGGUAAACGGCGGCCGUAACUAUAACGGUCCUAAGGUAGCGAAAUUCCUUGUCGGGUAAGUUCCGACCUGCACGAAUGGUGUAACCAUGGCCAUGCUGUCUCCACCCGAGACUCAGUGAAAUCGAAUUCGCCGUGAAGAUGCGGUGUACCCGCGGCUAGACGGAAAGACCCCGUGAACCUUUACUACAGCUUGGCACUGAACAUUGAACCUACAUGUGUAGGAUAGGUGGGAGGCUUUGAAGGCGUGACGCCAGUUGCGCUGGAGCCGUCCUUGAAAUACCACCCUUGUAUGUUUGAUGUUCUAACGCAGGCCCGUGAAUCCGGGUCGCGGACAGUGCCUGGUGGGUAGUUUGACUGGGGCGGUCUCCUCCCAAAGAGUAACGGAGGAGCACGAAGGUUGGCUAAUCCUGGUCGGACAUCAGGAGGUUAGUGCAAUGGCAUAAGCCAGCUUAACUGCGAGACGGACAGGUCGAGCAGGUACGAAAGUAGGUCAUAGUGAUCCGGUGGUUCUGAAUGGAAGGGCCAUCGCUCAACGGAUAAAAGGUACUCCGGGGAUAACAGGCUGAUACCGCCCAAGAGUUCAUAUCGACGGCGGUGUUUGGCACCUCGAUGUCGGCUCAUCACAUCCUGGGGCUGAAGUCGGUCCCAAGGGUAUGGCUGUUCGCCAUUUAAAGUGGUACGCGAGCUGGGUUCAGAACGUCGUGAGACAGUUCGGUCCCUAUCUGCCGUGGGCGUUGGAUGAUUGAAGGGAGUUGCUCCUAGUACGAGAGGACCGGAGUGAACGAACCUCUGGUGUUCGGGUUGUCACGCCAGUGGCACUGCCCGGUAGCUAAGUUCGGAAUCGAUAACCGCUGAAAGCAUCUAAGCGGGAAGCGAGCCCUGAGAUGAGUCAUCCCUGACCCUUGAGGGUCCUAAAGGGCCGUUGGAGACCACAACGUUGAUAGGUGGGGUGUGUAAGCGCGGCGACGUGUUGAGCUAACCCAUACUAAUUACCCGUGAGGCUUAACCAUACAACACCCAAGAAGUGUUCUG
This 2914-nucleotide ribosomal RNA is filed under the name Aeromonas hydrophila. RNAcentral's name for it is "23S ribosomal RNA". It matches the Rfam family "Bacterial large subunit ribosomal RNA". The record is from RNAcentral. Lineage: Bacteria; Pseudomonadati; Pseudomonadota; Gammaproteobacteria; Aeromonadales; Aeromonadaceae.